GAUGAACGCUGGCGGCGUGCUUAACACAUGCCAGUCGAACGGGAAACCUUUUAUUGAAGCUUCGGCAGAUUUCGCUGGUUUCUAGUGGCGGACGGGUGAGUAACGCGUGGGUAACCUGCCUUAUACAGGGGGAUAACAACCAGAAAUGGUUGCUAAUACCGCAUAAGCGCACAGGACCGCAUGGUCCGGUGUGAAAAACUCCGGUGGUAUAAGAUGGACCCGCGUUGGAUUAGCUAGUUGGCAGGGUAACGGCCUACCAAGGCGACGAUCCAUAGCCGGCCUGAGAGGGUGAACGGCCACAUUGGGACUGAGACACGGCCCAGACUCCUACGGGAGGCAGCAGUGGGGAAUAUUGCACAAUGGGGGAAACCCUGAUGCAGCGACGCCGCGUGAAGGAAGAAGUAUCUCGGUAUGUAAACUUCUAUCAGCAGGGAAGAUAGUGACGGUACCUGACGAAGAAGCCCCGGCUAACUACGUG
RNAcentral lists this ribosomal RNA (478 nucleotides) under uncultured bacterium. Its description in RNAcentral is "partial 16S ribosomal RNA". It matches the Rfam family "Bacterial small subunit ribosomal RNA", at positions 28 to 507 of the family's 1533-position model. The record is from RNAcentral.